Populus trichocarpa (black cottonwood) is the source of this 962-nucleotide long non-coding RNA. RefSeq lists it as uncharacterized. The transcript has 2 exons. Lineage: Eukaryota; Viridiplantae; Streptophyta; Magnoliopsida; Malpighiales; Salicaceae. The record is from RefSeq and is a predicted model, not a curated record.
UUUUUUUCACUGCCAACUUGGACAGAACUCACUCAGUCCCACGUAUGAAAUCACUGCCGAUUCCUUCCCGACUCAGUAAUCAUUGUGAUCGUAUUUGUUGCUGAAUGUAACGGUUACCGGCGGCAUAAAGGGUCCGACAUCCAUCCUAUUUGUGUUGAAAUAUUGCAGAAACCGACCACCAUUGGAACUUUCUUUUAGCUGUAGUUGAUGUUGGUAGGGAGCAGUAGCACUAUUUAUUGUCCUGUCUGUCUUUCGCUAUGGUCUUGGCGAUAAAAUAUGGCUUCGAACAUUGUAUGAAGAGAGACAGAGGCGGGUUCCGGUCUACUUAAAGGACGUAGUCUUUGCAGGAAUGAUCCCCAUCCAAGAAAAUGAGGGCUUUGAUGCCUUUUUUUGAUGGUUAUGUACAUAAGCAUACAUCGUUUAAGGAAUUUGUAGAUAAGAAUGAUCUCUCCCUACACCAAAAACACUUGAAAGAAGCCAUGGCAGAUCUGGAGACCAAAGAUUCAAGCUUUGAGUUGAAAACAAGAUGUAAAUUUGAGGCGCGGCUCUCUGAAAUGUACAGAAACGAAAUCUUUUAAGAGGUUCCAGUCUGAAGUUGAGGGGAUGUAUUCUUGUUUUAACACGAAGCAGGUGAAUGUUGAUGGAUAAAUAGUAACAUACAUUGUCAAAGAAGUCCCUUCUCGCUACAUUCUACCACGAUGGGGCAAAGAUUUUAAGCGCAGGGGUCUUCUAGAUCACAAUUCCAAUGAUGUUGACCCGGAUAACCCUAUGUACUGGUAUACCCAUCUGUACAAAUGUGCCAUUCCAGUUGUGGAGGAUGGAGCACGAUCUUCAGGUCAUUAUAAGACUGCAUUGCACGAAUUGGAAGAGUUGACGAACAAAUUCGAUCCUGUAGAGGACAGCUUGGUGUAGAUUCUAAUGUGGAAAGAAGCUAGAAAUUCAAAAUGUUUUUUCUUUUAAAA